CUGGACACUGUCCUGUGCCCCCUGCUCUGGGUGAGCCUGCUUGAGCAGGGGGGUGGCACUGGGGGAGCUCCCGAGAGCCCUUCCAACCCCGGCCAUGCUGGGAUUCUGGGA
This is a long non-coding RNA of Egretta garzetta (little egret), 111 nucleotides long. RefSeq lists it as uncharacterized. The transcript has 3 exons. The record is from RefSeq and is a predicted model, not a curated record. NCBI's taxonomy places the organism in Eukaryota, Metazoa, Chordata, Aves, Pelecaniformes, Ardeidae.